RNA transcript from Pelmatolapia mariae (spotted tilapia), 9498 nucleotides. It is a transcript of the gene named protein outspread, with no coding region annotated. NCBI's taxonomy places the organism in Eukaryota, Metazoa, Chordata, Actinopteri, Cichliformes, Cichlidae. The record is from RefSeq and is a predicted model, not a curated record. The transcript has 26 exons.
UCCGGCCCGAACGAGGAUUUGCACGAAAACAUCAACCGCAGACUGCGUAUCAGUACCAGAGGGGGAGCAGCUUUACGACGAACAGGACCCGACGCUAUUCAUCCAGCGGCAUGACAACCACGUCGAUGGCUUUUCCGAAGUUUGAUAACGUUCCGGUGGCCCUGAAGCGAGACGUUAGAAGCGCGAAAAAGAUUUAACGGCAAUGACCGCGCUAUCACUUGUUUGAUAGAAAGACAGAGAGGGGGGGCCGAAGUGGACUCCCUUCCCCUCAGUGAAGAGCCGUUCCGCCCGAUGGAGACUGUGACGGGACCUCUGCAGCGAGCUCGAGGCCCGGAGCGUCACCUGUGAGACGUCGACACCUCGCCGGAGGACGUAAUUAAGAGAGACACGCGAACAUCUGUCCGCACUUUCGACGACUUUAUUUGACAAGUUCUGCCAAAGCCUGCACGCUAAAACUAAAGUUAGCAGCUCGGCGUUAGCUGCAGGAGGCGACCCCGCGCGCAAGAUGACCAAUAUAGAUAUCACUUAACGAGGGGUUACGCACUGCCUCAGGUAACCUCGGGACAGGUGAACUGCGCACUGUUAAAUGGCUUUGUUCUAGAAAGCAUACAUCAGCAACUUGCCUCAGUCUUUGCUGUGAGAACUGAUUUUUUCCCCCCUCAAACACGGACUUUUAAAAUAAGUCUUUUUUUUUCUCAUCGAGUGUCGCUCCCUCAAUCAACCAUGUCACUCAAAGACAAUCCCUGUCGGAAAUUUCAAGCCAACAUUUUCAACAAAAGUAAAUGCCAGAACUGCUUUAAGCCCAGAGAGUCGCAUCUGCUCAACGACGAAGACUUAAACCAGGCAAAACCUAUAUAUGCAGGAUGGCUGCUCCUGGCACCGGAGGGAACAAAUUUUGACAAUCCCUUACACAGAUCUCGGAAAUGGCAGAGGAGGUUCUUUAUCCUCUACGAGCACGGCUUACUUCGCUAUGCUCUGGAUGAAAUGCCCAGCACGCUUCCCCAGGGUACAAUCAAUAUGAACCAGUGUUCUGACGUCAUCGACGGCGAGUCCAGGACAGGUCAGAAGAACUCGCUGUGCAUCCUGACCCCAGAGAAGGAGUACUUCAUACGGGCCGAGUGUAAAGAAAUCAUCAAUGGGUGGCAGGAGGCUCUGACUGUGUACCCCAGGACAAACAAACAGAACCAGAAGAAAAAACGCAAGGUCGAUCCACCCACUCACCAGUCUCUCUGUGACCUUACCUGCCAAUAUAUCCUUUCCUCUCCCCACCCACUCCUUCCAACCCCAACCAUUACCCAGGAGCCCGGCCCGGCUAAGGUAACAGUGACCAGCAGCAGCAGCGGGGGCAGCAUCCCAUGCCUACCCAGCAGUAUCGCUAGCGCCGAGCGGGUGCCGAUGACCCGCGCCACUCUGUGGCAGGAAGAGCCCCGCUGGAGCAGGGCCACCAUCCCCUGCAGCCGCAGUGCCUCCUGUCUCAGCCAGCUGGGCCACAGUCAGCCAGACUCCAGUAUCACUACUCAAGAUGAUGGUGGCACUGUGAGCAGUGGACGUAAGGUACGAGUUGAGAGUGGGUACUUCUCCCUGGAGAAGACCAAGUCGGAGCCUUCUCCACAGUCUGCACAUCACUCACAGCCACCCCAGCAUCUGCCCCUCUCCUCUUCAGCAUCUUCCUCCUCUUUAGGAGCUCCCAGUUCCAGGUACAACUCUGAAUCAGAACCCCAGACUUCCCCUCAUCAACCCUCCCAAGACCCUCUCCCCUCUCCAGGUUCACUUGUCUCCCCAAGCUACUCCACCAUCAGCUCUUCUCAGAGCUCUCUGGACUCUGAUCCCAGUGGAGCUACAUCCACUUGGGAGGGGCACAAUGGUGGCGGGGGCGGCCGAGUCGGCCGUUCCGGCAGGGAGUACGCAGCACUGGCAGAUGUGCCUCGGGCCCGCAGACUGAGCUACCGAGAAGCUUUCCGCUCAGAGAAGAAGCGCCAAGACCUGAGGGCGCGGACACGGAGCCCCGGGAGAGAGGAGGUGGCUCGGCUGUUUGGGGAGGAGCGCAGGCGAUCUCAAAUCAUUGAGCGGUUCGAGGAUGGUCAGCAUGUUGAGCGCAUGGAGACAAACGGCUCUGAUCCUUCUGCUAACUCCGUGCUGAUCCAGAGACAGGGACGCAGCGAGAGACGUUAUUUGGCUAAUAAACAUGAGAUGUCACUAGAUUCAGCAAAGGACCGUUCAGUUCCUGAUGUAUCUAGCUCCACUUUGGCCAACUUAAGAAGGGCCAAAUCAUUGGACCGCAGAGUAACUGAGUCCUCGAUGACUCCCGAUCUGCUGAACUUUAAAAAAGGAUGGAUGACAAAGCUAUAUGAAGAUGGAGUGUGGAAGAAGCACUGGUUUGUCCUGACAGAUCAGACUUUGAGGUACUAUAAGGAUUCAAUAGCUGAGGAGGCUUCAGAAAUGGACGGCGAGAUUGACCUUUCUACGUGCUACGAUGUCAAAGAGUUUCCAGUUCAAAGGAAUUACGGUUUCCAAAUCCUGUGUAAAGAAGGAGCGUGCACCCUGUCAGCGAUGACCUCUGGAAUCCGUCGUAACUGGAUUCAGGCGAUCAUGAAGAACGUGCGACCCACUAUCGCCCCCGAUGUCACCCGGAAAAACAUCCCUCUGAAACUAUCGGUUCUGAAGCCCAGAUCUCUCCCUGAUGAGAAGAUAAAAUCUCAGGUGAUGUUGGACCCAUGCCUACAGGUCACCCCUGAUCCAAGCCAUAGUCCAGAAAUCCCCAAGUCUGAUGGGCAGAGGCAGCCACCUGGUAACAAUGCCUCUGCCCCUGCCUCUGAGCCACGCAAAAGCAGAGUUCGUGAGCGCAGACGAGAGGGCCGCUCAAAAACUUUCGACUGGACUGAGUUCAAAAUGGAACAGAAGGAAAAGCCCGUAAAAGAACGAGCAGACACAGUUGACCUCAGCUCAUCGUUCUCCACAACCUCCUCCUACUGUUCUGCCUCCUCUUCUCCCUCCUCCUUGGCGUCAUCUCCGGUCUCUUCUUCCUCCCUCCAAACCUCAUCUGCAUCAGCUGCUCACCCACCUUCAAUUACAGAAGAAGCAGAAAAGGAGAACGUUAAUGGGGGAACUAGCAGUACAGCUCGCACACCAAAUACUGUUACUGUAACUGUGAUUUCAACGCUAAAUGCUACAUCACCAGUACAGCAACCAACACCUGGAAUCCAAGAGCAAGGAAAGAUGGAAGUGGAUCACCCUGCUGCCAUUAGUCCAGCCAGUGAAGACAAAGGCAGCAGAAGCUCAGAUGUUCAGGAUGAGAUUGAGCAGCGAUGGCAUCAAGUGGAGACAACACCAUUAAGGGAAGAGAAGCAAGUACCGAUCAACACUGCCUUAGGAAACUCUGAGAGACUGCCAGCGCAUGAGCUUGCUGCUCUACUAGACAAAGAGUUGGGACAGAAGCAGAAGGAGCUGGACCAACUGCAGAAGCAGAACAACCUCUUAAAGGAGCAACUGGAAAAUGCGCUAGUGAGAGAGCAAAGUGCCAGAGAGGGCUAUGUACUGCAGAGCGCAACACCUCCUACAUCUUCACCGCACAGAGUGCCAUGGCAACACUUGCACAGGCUUAAUCAAGAUUUACAGGGUGAACUGGAGUCCCAGAAGCGCAAGCAGGACCUUGCACAGCAACAGAUCCGGACAUUGAAGAGGAGCUACACCGAAGCCCAGGAUGCUGUAGAGCGCCACGAGUCCGAUAUUCAGGCUUUGCAGUCUAAACUUGCAUCUGCAAUGGCGGAAAUUUUAGCAAGUGAACAGGCUGUGGUCCGGAUGCGGAAUGAGCUCAGGCUAGAGCAGGAGCGCUCAAAAGAACACGAAGAAGAAUACAGUCAUAGUGAGGCUACCCUACGAGCCCAGCUGAAGGACAGUGAAGACAGACUCCGUGAAGUAGAAGCCAACCUCCUGGAGAGAAACCAGGCCCUCAGGCAGCUGGAGCGCCAGCAGGCACUGCAGCGAGACCACGUGAGGGAGAUACAGAGGUUGCAGGAGAAGCUGCAAGAAGUGACUGCUCGACUAACUGCUACAGAAGAGGGUCAGGCACUGAAAGAAGAGCGCCUUAAGCAGGAACAGCAUAGCAUGCAAGAGAGUCAUGAAAGAGAGAGACAGAAUCUGUGCAAAAAAUUAGCUGAAGCUGAAACUGCACACAAGGAAGUAGAGGACAGGCUGUUCGAGGCUGAGCAGCAGGUAGAGGCCUUGUUAAGGGGUAGGCGGGCCUCAGGAGGUACAGAAUGCAAGCAGGAAAUGCUGAAGUUGCAAGAAGAGCUGGCUCAAAAGGCUGACAUGGUUGAGUCACUGAAGGAAAGUGUCCGUAGACUAGAAGAAGAAAAAGGACAUCUUACGUGUCGUUGUCAGGAACUCAUCAACCAGAUUGCUGAAGCAGACCGUGAAGUGAACAAGCUUCGCACUCGCCUGGAAACAGAAGAAGCAGAUUACUACACCUUGGAGCAUUCAUAUGAGAGGGCUACCCAAGAGUUUCAGAAAAUGAGCCAGUUCCUUAGAGAAAAAGAGGAGGAGAUCCGGCAGACUAAGGAGAUGUACGAGAGACUGAUGGAACGCAAGGAGGAGGACCUAAAAGAAGCACUUAUUAAAAUGACUGCACUUGGCAACAGCUUAGAGGAAACUGAGCUGAAGCUGCAAGCCAAGGAGGAGCUUCUCUGUCAAAUGACUCAAAGCCUCUUGGACAAAGUUGAGCCUUGUAAUGCUGAGAAGGAUCUGCAAGCCAAGCUUGUGGUUGCAGAGGACCGCAUUGCAGAGCUGGAGCAGCACCUCAAUGCCCUACAGCUGGGGUAUGCUAAUCUACACAUGGAAAGGCAGCAAAUCCCAGAACAGAGUGAGGAGGAAAGAACAUCACCCUCCUCGUUAUCAAACGCAGAGCUUUCUUUAGACAAUACAUCCACAACAGAGAGCUCCCCAGACGAUAAGGAGUCUCAAGCUAAGAGACCAAGGAUACGUUUUUCUAGUAUUCAGUGUCAAAAAUAUGUCAAUUUCGAGGUCCUGGACACUAGCCAAAAAAUGAAUCAGAAUGUAGCUGAAGACAUUGAGUUAACUGAAGGAACAGCUACUCCUGACUUCACAGCCCCACAUGCUAAUGACCCAGAGAAGUUUAUCUCUAUCAUACAUGCUCUUGAAACGAAACUGCUCGCCACAGAAGAUAAGCUAAGAAACCUAACACAAAAUCUGGAUAGGCAACGAUCCACCCAAGCAGAGGACUUGUCCGAUAUGGAUUUAAAGAUCGGCGAAAAGGAUUCUUGCCCAGAGAAAGAAACUAGUGAUGCAAGUGGUAUACAGAGUAGUGCUGGCAUUAAGCAUUGUACCAAUGCCCUUGUAUGUGUGGAAAAUGGUCGAGAGAAAGUUAGGGCUAUUCUCAGUGGCUCACAUGAAACAGAUACACAGCUGCACUCAUUGUGUGAGAUAGAGAAGGAUUUGUUCAAUGCAUCGCUGUACCUUCAACAGGGACAAAAGAUGUUGGAAGAGCAAUCACCAGCUUUCCAUCCAAAUCAAACCCCAGAGACUGUAGAUAAAGAGGCAAUGCACCUCUUUGCCAAAACUUUGUCCUUUGAGGCGAUGGUUUUGAACAAGAUGGCUUUGUUAAUACAAAUGUCAAAGUCUGACCUCCUGCAGGCUCUUACUGAGAUCUGGGAGGACAUUGAGCACAUUAAAAGGAGUGACAAAGAUUGCUUGGCUGUAGUUUAUGCCGAUGUCUUGACCAGGAAGCUGAUUUUAGAAAGUGGGUUCUGGAAAGAACUUGAGAAAGCAGAGACGGAUGUUGCUAAAUCCAAAGAGGGUGGUGUAUUAGAUGAUGUAGAUGUUGAUGCCAAAGUUGCCUUCAACAACUUCAUUAAAGCAGAAUUAGCCUACUCAAUUCAAAAUCUUAAGCUUUGCUAUGAGGAAAAAUUCAGAAUACUUAAAAGGGAGCUAGCUGUAGCUCAUAAAAACCUCUAUGAAAGGGAAAUGGCUUUGAAAGCAAUUAUUGAAGCUUCUAAAAGGCCUGAUUUGAAAACUGUCAUAAAAGAAGUCAAAAACAACUUUGGAUUCAACAAACGAAAGCUGGCGGACAUUCACCCUCCCGAGCUUGCUCCGUACAUGGAGCAGAUCGAAAUAGAAGAAGCUAGAGACUUGGCUGAGGAAAUCGUAGACAGACACUUGGCUGGUGAAAUGCCCUCUUGUGGCAUUGACUCUGUUGAAUCACUGCAAAAUGCUCAUGAAAGCCUGGCUAAUGAACUUCAAAGACAAGCAGCGAUCCUCCACAAGUAUGCCCAAGAACUAGAAAGUGGCGAAAGCAAUCCCGGACUGUCUAAAAUGAUCCGAUCUCUUCUAGGACACCAAACCUCACAUUUUUUCACAAGUACCUCUCUUUGUAUGCGUGAAGCCCUCACCCAGGCUCAAGUGGCAUAUGUGGCAUGUAGGUUACGGGCCAUGCAUGAACAAGAUUUGGGCUAUUGUAAACAGACCAGUCAAACUAUGGAUGAUCUCGUGCAGCAGCAUGCACGCAGUGUCACAGCAAUCCAAGAAAAAUAUGAAGAGUCUUUACAAGAGGAGCGCCGUAACUUCAAGCAAAUGGUGGAAUCUCUCCAGAAGGAAAAUCAGACUCUUAAGAGUGAGAUCAGCAAACGUGUGAAUCAGCUCUCACAGCAGCAGCAGCAAGUGGUCUUCUUAGAGAAAGAGUUUCAGAAAGAGACGGAAGACCUGAAGCAGAAGCAUCAAAGGGAGCUGAGCCGAGCAGAACAAGGCUGUGCCUCAACAGAGCUGGCCCUCAUGGAAACAGCAGCUGACAGUCAACGAAAGUUAGAGGUUCUGCUAGCAGACAUGGACACAAUGGAGGAGAGGCACGAGAGUCAUGUGAGGAAACUUGAGGAGCAGUUUGAAAUGAGGGUUUGCGAGCUCCAGCAUAUCCACAAGGACAACAUUGAAAAGUUACGUUCAGAGUAUGUGGAGAACAUUCAGAGUCUCAAAGAUCACCAACCUUACGAUCAAAACCCUGAGGUCUCACAGCCACCUCCUUAUGAGGAGGCUGCUACGCCAAUGGAAGAGGAAGAGCAGGGAAAAGGGGAUGAUGUACAGCACAUAUCAGAGGUCGACUCCAUGGUGGUUCUGAAAGACCGCAUUCAAGAACUGGAGACUCAGAUGAAUAAUAUGAGGGACGAACUGGAGAACAAACACCUUGAAGGAGAUGUGGCCAGCCUGAGAGAGAAAUACCAGAGAGACUUUGAAAGCCUCAAGGCCACAUGUGAGCGUGGCUUUGCCGCAAUGGAGGAGACACACCAGAAGGUGAUCGAAGACCUCCAGAGGCAGCAUCAGAGGGAGAUUUCCAAACUCAUGGAAGAGCGAGAGAGACUAUUGGCUGAGGAGACGGCUGCCACGAUUGCUGCUAUUGAAGCUAUGAAGAAUGCGCACAAGGAGGAACUGGAAAAAACCCAGCGCUCCCAAAUAAGUGGACUGAACUCUGACAUCGAUGAACUACGCUUACAAUACGAGGAGGAGCUGCAGUCCAUCCAGAGAGAACUGGAGGUGCUGUCAGAGCAGUACUCUCAGAAAUGUCUGGAGAACGCUCACCUGGCUCAGGCGCUGGAGGCCGAGAGGCAGGCCCUCAGGCAGUGUCAGAGAGAGAACCAGGAGCUAAAUGCACACAACCAGGAAUUAAAUAACCGGCUGACUGUAGAGAUCACUCGGAUGCGCUCCUGUUUUAGUGGGGAAACCGCUCACUCGUCGCUUUCCCAGGGCAAAGAUGUGUAUGAACUGGAGGUAUUGUUACGAAUAAAGGAGUCGGAGAUCCAGUAUCUCAAACAAGAAAUCCACUCUCUGAAAGACGAGCUACAGUCUGCUUUAAGGGACAAGAAAUAUGCCACAGACAAAUAUAAGGACAUCUACACAGAACUCAGCAUUGUAAAAGCAAAAGCAGACUGCGACAUCAGCAAACUGAAGGAGAAGUUGCUCAUUGCCACAGAAGCUUUAGGUGAGAGGACUGUCGAUGGAACAGUUACAUCUGGAUAUGAUAUCAUGAAGUCCAAAAGUAACCCAGAUUUCAUGAAAAAAGAACAGUCGGCGAGCUCCAGGCAUUCACGAGGUUUAAGGUCAAAGUCUGUCACCGAGCAGGUCUCAUGGGAUAGCUGACACUCCCAUUGUGGGGUGAUCCCCUCCCAACCCCCGCCCCAACAUAUGCUAGCCUGAAAGAGGGACUCACUGUGCAGGAGCGCAUGAAGCUUUUUGAGGCAAAAGAUUCCAGAAAGAUUUAACCUGAAACGUUUUUUGCUUUUUUGUUUUUUUUUCCUCUUACCUGCCCUCUGUUUUUCUUUGUUUUGUUUUUUUUUUUUACCCCUGCCGUGCCAUCAUGGGCUGAAGAUGUUGGGGUGGCAUCGGAGAUCAAGGACUUUAAUCUAUCUGUUCUAAACCUCUUUCACGUUUUAGCUCGAUCUUGUCUCUUAUUUUAAUUCUUAAAGUACAUACACUUACGAUCAGGCCGAGUUGGAGUCGUGUCAAAAGCGCUGUGAGAGAGAUUAGAUUACAGCUUUUCUGUUGAUCCUCCAAAAUGCCAAAACUGACAGCAAUACACAAUAUGAAUAAUAUAUAAAUAUAAAUAUAUCCCAAUAUUGAAUUAAGUAUCUGCUGUAUUUUAUUAUUGUAAUAGUGUCUAUAUCUAAUAAUUUUUAAUGUGCUUAAUGUUGCACCAGUUCUCCUGUACAUAACUACUGGACACAUGUAGAAUAUGGUUUGCUAUUGAUUGUUGGGGCAUCUGCUGUACUAUUUGAUUGAUAUUGCAAAACAAUGUGAUGCUUACCUUGAUAUGAUGUAUGAGUGUUUUAUAAAACGGUGUGUCUGCGUGUGGAAGUGUGGGGGGGAGGUGAGAUUGCACUUACCUUUUGACUACUUGAGGAGGCUUGUUUUUAUUCGUCUCAGAAUCGGUGUAGUGACUUCCAGUCGAUUUAUUGCAGUGCAACCAAACAUGCUGACUCGCGUCACAUUAGGUGACCAGCCGUGAUUUGUUAGCGAUACUGGAAUUUAUUUCUAAUUUCUUAAAUUCCAACUUUGUUUGCUUCAGUGUGAGAAUUAUCAUCUCCUUAAACCUGAACCUGUUUUUUGGAUUUGCAUGAUCACGUUGCCUCCUUUUCCUACUCUUUGCUUUAGUGUGGCGCUCUAGACAAUUAUAAGCUUUGCUUUGCAAGUCCUACUGUUGAGAUGCUGAGAUUGAGAUGUUUUACUGUAAGCGGCAGUCUUGAAGCACUUGGCCCAGUCCCUGACCUCUUACUGAAAUCUAGUCGUGCCUCAACUGAGUGAAGAAUAUAGACAUCCAUGAAACCUGUGCAGCUAUGGAUACACACUGUAUAGUAUUCAAACCACGCCUUGUGUAUAUAAAUAUAUGCCACACGGAAGACUUCUGUGUUUUGUUUUAAAACUUGUACCUUGCUCUCUAGCUCUAUAAGAAAUAUAUAUGAAUAUUUUUUAUUUUCAUUUGAAUGUAUAACGUCAAAUAAA